GGCUAACUACGUGCCAGCAGCCGCGGUAAUACGUAGGGGGCGAGCGUUGUCCGGAAUUACUGGGCGUAAAGGGUACGCAGGCGGCCAAGUAAGUCAGAUGUGAAAGCCUACGGCUUAACCGUAGUAAGCAUUUGAAACUACCUGGCUUGAGUUAAGGAGAGGAAAGUGGAAUUCCUGGUGUAGCGGUGAAAUGCGUAGAUAUCAGGAGGAAUACCAGUGGCGAAGGCGACUUUCUGGACUUAUACUGACGCUGAGGUACGAAAGCGUGGGGAGCAAACAGGAUUAGAUACCCUUGUAGUC
RNAcentral lists this ribosomal RNA (300 nucleotides) under uncultured Clostridium sp. RNAcentral describes it as "bacterial SSU rRNA". It matches the Rfam family "Bacterial small subunit ribosomal RNA", at positions 495 to 795 of the family's 1533-position model. The record is from RNAcentral. Lineage: Bacteria; Bacillati; Bacillota; Clostridia; Eubacteriales; Clostridiaceae.